This 465-nucleotide ribosomal RNA is filed under the name uncultured bacterium. Its description in RNAcentral is "partial 16S ribosomal RNA". It matches the Rfam family "Bacterial small subunit ribosomal RNA", at positions 339 to 795 of the family's 1533-position model. The record is from RNAcentral.
CUACGGGUUGCUGCAGUGGGGAAUAUUGGACAAUGGGGGAAACCCUGAUCCAGCAAUGCCGCGUGUGUGAAGAAGGCCUGCGGGUUGUAAAGCACUUUCGGUUGGGAGGACUGCUUCUAGCACUAAUAUUGUUGGAAGUUGACGUUACCUUCAGAAGAAGCACCGGCUAACUCCGUGCCAGCAGCCGCGGUAAUACGGAGGGUGCAAGCGUUAAUCGGAAUUACUGGGCGUAAAGCGCGCGUAGGCGGCUAGAUCAGUCGGGUGUGAAAGCCCCGGGCUUAACCUGGGAACUGCAUCCGAUACUGUCUAGCUUGAGUACAGGAGAGGAGAGUGGAAUUCCACAUGUAGCGGUGAAAUGCGUAGAUAUGUGGAGGGACACCAAUGGCGAAGGCAGCUCUCUGGCCUGAUACUGACGCUAAGGUGCGAAAGCGUGGGGAGCAAACAGGAUUAGAUACCCGCGUAGUC